UUUACACGUUAUGUGAAAACUAGUACAAGUAUAUAAAUAAAUAAAAAGAGACUUACUCAUGUUUAUGAACUCUGCUGAAUAAAGUGCUUCAUUAUUUUUUCUGAGGAAAUCCAAAUCUCAAAUCCUCAACCACAUCACAUCUUUUUUUGGGGUGAAUUAUGUCUUAUUCCUCUCAUCGCGAAGCAAACAGUAAAAAUAAUAAAAAAACUUGAAGAACAGUCUCGCUGCGUUGUCUUCUGUUGUGUGGGCGUAUUCAAAAGCCGAGACACCCCUCGCUGCAGACUGUAGCGCGGUGACGUCACGUACGUACGUCACGUAUGUGUUUACCGCGCAUGCGCAAAGUGACGUAAGGUAUGUCUUUAGCACGCAUGCGUGUGUAAUUUGCAUUGCGUGAUGACGUUAGUUGUUUUCGCGUCUUGCGUGCAUUAAAAUGCAUGCGUGUACUUAAAAGAAAACUCUAAUAAAAUGUUAAAGUAUUAAAGAACAUUAAGGUGUAAAAAAAAGAUGGGAAAAACAACAGUAAAAUAUAAUACAGCAAACAGCACAUAUCCAUUAUUUUAACCAUGUUUCAUCUGAGGUAAAAUUAUACGGAAUUACAGAGUUUAUUCUGUAAUAUCUUUGUAGUAUUUUAUUUACAAUAUAUUAACAUUAUGUUGCACUUUACUUCACUGUGUGUAUUGUAAUAUUACACUUUAAUGACACCUCAUAUAUGUCUUAUUGAGCUAUUCAAGAGUAAAACAGAUGAAAAUUAGUCGUCAGCUCUAGUGGUGCAGAUAAUAAAACGUGUGUUGUUUACAAUUUGAUGCAAUCGACCCGGGUUCGAGUGUUCCUUUUGACUUAAGUUUUUUUUUUCUCCUUUUUCAAAUUUCAAAUCACAUCAGAAAAGCAUGUAUUUUCAAUAAAAAUGAAGGAAAUAAUCAAAAAGUUGUGUGGGAUGGGUUUAUUGUCCCAAUAAGGUGGCAUCCAUAUAAUAAUUUGAAUUAAAAUUAUAAUUUACACUCAAUAAGUUA
Cyprinus carpio carpio is the source of this 1010-nucleotide long non-coding RNA. Lineage: Eukaryota; Metazoa; Chordata; Actinopteri; Cypriniformes; Cyprinidae. The record is from Ensembl.